This 833-nucleotide long non-coding RNA is filed under the name Coturnix japonica (Japanese quail). Its description in RNAcentral is "lncRNA (ENSCJPG00005007613.1)". Lineage: Eukaryota; Metazoa; Chordata; Aves; Galliformes; Phasianidae. The record is from RNAcentral.
GUGAAAACAAAUACAUCUAUGAAUGAGACAAAUGCAUUGGAACUUAAAUGGAGGUGAACUUGCUUGCAUACCCAGGAAAGAUCACAAGUAUCCAGCCCCACAGAAAUACUGUAUUAUUGUUGUCACUCCGAGACCAGAAGAGCUUUUUGAAGAAGUUAUCUACCGUAGAGAGGAGCUGCAAUACUUAGUAAUUUCUGCAGAAUGGCCUCAUAGAAAUAUGGUUCCCGAAUUAAUAAAGGUAAAAGCAUUACAGCUUGAAGAAAUACAUGUUAUGCUUUAGCACAUGAAUUGGGCUUUUCCCCUCAGAUUGCGAGCUUGGGAAAGCUGAGCUUAAGGCAAUUUCUUCAAUUGCACUUUGUUUAUAUUUUGGGUUAUGCCGAGACAGACUUACAAAGUCAGCUGUGAUAAUGGAACUGGAUAAACUUUAUUCAUAUGAGAGUGAGAAAAAAAAGGAUCCGAAAUCAGAUGUUCAUGAAGGCAAACUGAGCGAGUUCUGUGCUGAUUAUUGUGGGUUUCGGCCUCACUGCUCCCAUUCUGCAUCUGGUAAGCUGCAUUUACUCAAUUCUUUUUAUUUUCUUGUGUUCUGAGUCAAGUAUAGGAAUGAUGAGAAACACAGGAGACUUUCCUGCCACGUGUAGGUAAUCCAAAGUCAUUUUUACUGCUGAUGACCAAUGCGGUAUCACUCAUGUUCUUAAAGCCUUCUAAAGUACUGAAUGGUCAUAGGCUUAGGAAAUACUUUCUAUGAAUGACUACUCUGAUUUCUUGUGAGCCACAUCACAUUUUUUUACUUGAACAGCUCCCGAGGAGCAAUCUGACUUUUACUGUGAUUUCAC